UAUAUGUUCAAUGUUCUAUGUUUCUUUCCCCCGAGGCUGCUUUUCUGAACUCGAACCACUGCUGCAGCCCUUACAGCUGAGCCUGGCCCAUACAGACUGCCAGAUCCUGACAGUGACCCAAAGUCUCCAAAGAAGAUUACGAGGCACCUCAGUUCCUGCACCUGGACCAGUGAGCGAGAUGCUCAGAUGUGAAACCUGCCGCCUGCCAGAACCUGGCCGAGAAUGUGGACAAAGCUGCUGGACACUGGAAAAUUGAUUGCACCCCUUUGCCUAGACAAAACAAGGUCAGUCUUUUCCAUGUCCCUCUUCCACAGAGAGGAAAAAAAACUCUCACAGUAUAGGCCUGGCGAAGAUUGCUGUUCUUUGAGACACCUGCCUCCAGCGGUAAUGGAG
RNAcentral lists this long non-coding RNA (393 nucleotides) under Cricetulus griseus (Chinese hamster). Its description in RNAcentral is "lncRNA (ENSCGRG00015036482.1)". Lineage: Eukaryota; Metazoa; Chordata; Mammalia; Rodentia; Cricetidae. The record is from RNAcentral.